UACUACUACUUCUUUUUA
This 18-nucleotide small nuclear RNA is filed under the name Arabidopsis thaliana (thale cress). Its description in RNAcentral is "snRNA_11165". Lineage: Eukaryota; Viridiplantae; Streptophyta; Magnoliopsida; Brassicales; Brassicaceae. The record is from RNAcentral.